GAUGAACGCUGGCGGCGUGCCUAAUACAUGCAAGUCGAGCGAACAGAUAAGGAGCUUGCUCCUUUGACGUUAGCGGCGGACGGGUGAGUAACACGUGGGUAACCUACCUAUAAGACUGGGAUAACUUCGGGAAACCGGAGCUAAUACCGGAUAACAUUUGGAACCGCAUGGUUCUAAAGUGAAAGAUGGUUUUGCUAUCGCUUAUAGAUGGACCCGCGCCGUAUUAGCUAGUUGGUAAGGUAACGGCUUACCAAGGCGACGAUACGUAGCCGGCCUGAGAGGGUGAUCGGCCACACUGGAACUGAGACACGGUCCAGACUCCUACGGGAGGCAGAAGUAGGGAAGCUUCCGCAAUGGGCGAAAGCCUGACGGAGCAACGCCGCGUGAGUGAUGAAGGGUUUCGGCUCGUAAAACUCUGUUAUUAGGGAAGAACAAAUGUGUAAGUAACUGUGCACGUCUUGACGGUACCUAAUCAGAAAGCCACGGCUAACUACGUGCCAGCCGCCGCAGUAA
Molecule: ribosomal RNA, 513 nt
Filed under: uncultured bacterium
Lineage: Bacteria
Description: partial 16S ribosomal RNA
Rfam family: Bacterial small subunit ribosomal RNA
Source: RNAcentral